CAAUAGCGUAUAUUUAAGUUGUUGCAGUUAAAAAGCUCGUAGUCGGAUUUUGGCUGAGAACGAUCGGUCCGCCGUUCGGUGUGCACUGAUUGGUCUCAGCUUCCUGGUGAGGAGGUGUGCUUCACGGCCACUUAGUCACCGUGGUUACUUUGAAAAAAUUAGAGUGUUCAAAGCGGGCUUACGCUUGAAUAUAUUAGCAUGGAAUAACACCAUAGGACUCCUGUCCUAUUUCGUUGGUCUCGGGACGGGAGUAAUGAUUAAGAGGAACAGUUGGGGGCAUUCGUAUUUCAUUGUCAGAGGUGAAAUUCUUGGAUUUAUGAAAGACGAACUUCUGCGAAAGCAUUUGCCAAGGAUGUUUUCAUUGA
This 365-nucleotide ribosomal RNA is filed under the name uncultured eukaryote. RNAcentral describes it as "partial 18S ribosomal RNA". It matches the Rfam family "Eukaryotic small subunit ribosomal RNA", at positions 592 to 976 of the family's 1831-position model. The record is from RNAcentral.